This 253-nucleotide ribosomal RNA is filed under the name uncultured bacterium. RNAcentral's name for it is "partial 16S ribosomal RNA". It matches the Rfam family "Bacterial small subunit ribosomal RNA", at positions 524 to 776 of the family's 1533-position model. The record is from RNAcentral.
UACGUAGGUGGCAAGCGUUAUCCGGAAUUACUGGGCGUAAAGCGCACGCAGGCGGUCUUUUAAGUUUGACGUGAAAGCUCCCGGCUUAACUGGGAGAGGUCGUUGAAGACUGGAAGACUUGAGGCAAUGAGAGGGGUGUAGAAUUCCCGGUGUAGUGGUGGAAUGCGUAGAUAUCGGGAGGAACACCUGUGGCGAAAGCGGCGCACUGGACCAUAACUGACGCUGAGGCGCGAAAGCUAGGGGAGCAAACAGG